Molecule: long non-coding RNA, 367 nt
Organism: Apis laboriosa (Himalayan honeybee)
Lineage: Eukaryota; Metazoa; Arthropoda; Insecta; Hymenoptera; Apidae
Exons: 4
Source: RefSeq, a predicted model, not a curated record
UAGAGAAGUUAACAUUUGUACAAACUCAAAUGAUUUAUUAAUCAUUGCAAUUAAUAAAUUACCACAUGGAAAGCUAAGAUCAUCGAUGGACAACAGACUUUCCUCUGUACCCCAGGAAAAUUUGCAGCCUUUCAUUAUAUAAUAUGGAUGAUUACAUAAUCAUAAAUAGAAUUGAGAUGAUAAUUUUAUAGAAAACAGAACUAAAGUCACUUGAAGGAGAUUAAUGGAUAUUUAAGAAAUGAUCCAGCAGUAAAGGAUAGCUACUAUCGUAAUGAUCGAAGAGCAAGAAAUCCAUGUUAGAAAAGACUCGCAUAAUUCCAAGAAAAGAACCACUAACAUCGUCAUACAUAACAGCGUUCUAGUUGUG